UGAGCAAUCUGCCCUUCUCUUUGGAAUAAGCGUUGGAAACGACGUCUAAUGCCGAAUACGACCUCCUUUCGCAUGAUCGGAGGUGGAAAGCUCCGGCGGAGAAGGAUGAGCUCGCGGCCUAUCAGCUAGUUGGUGUGGGUAAUGGCCCACCAAGGCGACGACGGGUAGCCGGUCUGAGAGGGUGACCGGCCACACUGGGACUGAGACACGGCCCAGACCUCCGUACGGGAGGNAG
This 235-nucleotide ribosomal RNA is filed under the name uncultured bacterium. RNAcentral describes it as "partial 16S ribosomal RNA". It matches the Rfam family "Bacterial small subunit ribosomal RNA", at positions 118 to 351 of the family's 1533-position model. The record is from RNAcentral.